RNAcentral lists this long non-coding RNA (1093 nucleotides) under Anas platyrhynchos platyrhynchos (common mallard). Its description in RNAcentral is "lncRNA (ENSAPLG00000018154.1)". The record is from RNAcentral. Lineage: Eukaryota; Metazoa; Chordata; Aves; Anseriformes; Anatidae.
CUGAAAGUGAGGUGCCACUGUGCCUGCAGGUGUAACAGGCAGAGUAAAAUUUACUUGUGCUUGCUGUUCUGUGUUUUUGUGCAGGCAGCAUUGUCCUUGUGCUUUGGCCUAUUUCACCUUUACUUGUCUCCAUUCUGGGUACAACAGUGGUCUGUUGUAGGAGCAGGAGGAGCAUUACAGGCCAUGAUUUGUUGUUGUGGCCUAUAUCAACGGUAAGAAAAGCUUGAAAUCUGCAGAAGCACAACUCUCUUCAUCUUGAAGCAAUAACACGUACAAGACAAAACCAUGUUCUGCUGCUGAAACACAUAUAUGAAGAGUUUCUUCAUGCACUUUAUGUGCACUUGUCCUGGGAAAUUGUCGUUUGAGUCACAGUGGUUCUUCUCUAUAGAUGACUAUUUGGCUGGAAUUAGAAGGGAGCCUCCUGUGCACAUUUUCUUUGAUUAUAUUGAUCUAGAAAGUUCUUCAGUAAGCCUGGCUGAGUGAAACAUAAAGUCUGUCAAGACUUCUGGCUGAACAGUUUUAAGCUGUCUACUUCCUGAAAGCAAUACUGGAAUCAGAAGCCCUGCUGUGAUGGUGCAGUCUACUGGGUCACUUCUGUCUGGGUUGCAUGCUAAUCAACUCAACCUGAAAUGCUGAUGGUGUUAAAGUAUUCUGUACCAUUCAUAACGGUUAACUAAAAUGCAAACAUUUGAUUCAUGUCACACAAGAGAUUUGCCACCCAGGAAACUCAAAAUUAUGACUAAAAUAUCAGCCCAUCAUGUUCAUCUCAGACCCCUAGUACUUCAAACUCUAACACUGUAGGAGAAUGAGUUCAGCUUUCCCAAUGAUACCCGUGUCCUCUUUGUAAUGUGCAAUUAUUAUUUCACUAACACCUCUCAUUCUAUCUACGUCAAAACUUAGAGUGAAUCUAAUGAACAGAGACAAACUGAAAUGAUUGCCAGCAUCAAAGAGAAAAAUAUUUUAUGUUGUGUGUGAAGACAAUAAUGAGAGUUUAGUUUUGGUUUUCAUUUGCUUUCAUUUUGUCUUCUUGUAGAUUAAAAAUAGUCAAAGUAUGUUCUCAAGUUUUUAAUAAAAGGCUUUCAAGUAUUGAACA